RNAcentral lists this ribosomal RNA (484 nucleotides) under uncultured bacterium. Its description in RNAcentral is "partial 16S ribosomal RNA". It matches the Rfam family "Bacterial small subunit ribosomal RNA", at positions 28 to 507 of the family's 1533-position model. The record is from RNAcentral.
AUUGAACGCUGGCGGCAUGCUUUACACAUGCAAGUCGAACGGCAGCGCGGGCUUCGGCCUGGCGGCGAGUGGCGAACGGGUGAGUAAUGCAUCGGAACGUGCCCAGUAGUGGGGGAUAGCCCGGCGAAAGCCGGAUUAAUACCGCAUACGACCUGAGGGUGAAAGCGGGGGACCGAAAGGCCUCGCGCUAUUGGAGCGGCCGAUGUCGGAUUAGCUAGUUGGUGGGGUAAAGGCUUACCAAGGCGACGAUCCGUAGCUGGUCUGAGAGGACGACCAGCCGCACUGGGACUGAGACACGGCCCAGACUCCUACGGGAGGCAGCAGUGGGGAAUUUUGGACAAUGGGGGCAACCCUGAUCCAGCCAUGCCGCGUGCGAGAAGAAGGCCUUCGGGUUGUAAACCGCUUUUGUUCGGGAAGAAAUCCUCUGGGCUAAUACCCCGGGGGGAUGACGGUACCGGAAGAAUAAGCACCGGCUAACUACGUG